GUAGUCGGAUUCACAUUAAUCCACAUGUAUCGGGGCGGGUUGGAGUGAAAUUUGAACUAAAUUCCACCCCAAUCCACUCCAACACAUGUGGAUUGAAGUGAAUCCGACA
Molecule: microRNA precursor, 109 nt
Organism: Sorghum bicolor (sorghum)
Lineage: Eukaryota; Viridiplantae; Streptophyta; Magnoliopsida; Poales; Poaceae
Rfam family: MIR5565 microRNA precursor family
Source: Rfam